CGGCCGCCUUCCACGCCCGAGGGCAUCGCGCUGGCCUACGGCAGCCUCCUGCUCAUGGCGCUGCUGCCCAUCUUCUUCGGCGCCCUGCGCUCCGUACGCUGCGCCCGCGGCAAGAAUGCUUCAGACAUGCCUGAAACAAUCACCAGCCGGGAUGCCGCCCGCUUCCCCAUCAUCGCCAGCUGCACACUCUUGGGGCUCUACCUCUUUUUCAAACCCCUUCAUGAAUAAGUUUUUUCCAGCCAGCUUUCCAAAUCGACAGUACCAGCUGCUCUUCACACAGGGUUCUGGGGAAAACAAGGAAGGUAUUUGGCACCAAUGUGAUGGUGACAGUGGCCAAGUCCUUCGAGGCACCAAUAAAAUUGGUGUUUCCCCAGGAUCUGCUGGAGAAAGGCCUCGAAGCAAACAACUUUGCCAUGCUGGGACUUGGAGAUGUCGUCAUUCCA
This 443-nucleotide small RNA is filed under the name Pan troglodytes (chimpanzee). RNAcentral describes it as "processed transcript". The record is from RNAcentral. Lineage: Eukaryota; Metazoa; Chordata; Mammalia; Primates; Hominidae.